UUUGAGAGCUUUCUUUCUAUUCCGAUUCCUUAACACGCAAACCGCCGUCUCAUCUCUCUCUCUGAAAAAAUAAAAAAAAUUUGGUUUCUUUUUCUCUUUGACAUUUUCACACCUACCUCAGUUUCACACCACCCCAUCACCAUAUAAAACCCUUUCCCUUUCUCUCCCCUCAAUUCUUUUCGAUCUCUCACUUUCUUUUUUCUUCCGGCAUUUCCUCGAUCUUUCGUCUUCUUUCCACCAACCAAACUCGUGGAAACGCCAUAUAUAUCGUCAAGCACGUAGAUAUGGAGGGUCAUCAUCAUCCUCCUCAUCACCAUCCUCAGUUGCACCCACAGGUUUCGCAUCUCCAGUAUGGCGGCGGCGUGAGUGUCGACGCCAGCGUCGGCGGCGGCGGCGGGAGUGGCGGGGUGGCGGAUAGGUUUCCUCAAUGGAGUAUUCAAGAAACCAGGGAUUUCUUGAUCAUCCGGGCCGAGCUGGAUCCGACCUUCAUGCAGACUAAACGUAAUAAGCUCCUCUGGGAAAUCAUCGCCUCUAAGAUGAAGGAAAAGGGUUACAAUCGAAGCGCUGAACAGUGCAAGUGCAAGUGGAAAAACCUCGUCACUCGUUACAAGGGAUGUGAAACGAUGGAGCCGGAAGGGAUGAGACAGCAGUUCCCAUAUUACAACGAGCUGCAAACGAUAUUCAAUACGAGGAUGCAAAGAAUGCUGUGGAUGGAGGCGGAGGGCGGCAGCAGCACGGCCGGCGGGUCGAAGAAGAAGGCGGGAAUGGCGCUAUCGUCGGACGAGGAGGAGGAGAACGAGGAGAGCGACGGGGAGGCGAAGAGUGGUCGGAAGAAGAGGAAGGUGGUGAAAAGCGGGGGGAGUGGGAAUAACGUGGUGAAUAGUUUGAGGGAGAUUUUGGAGGAUUUCAUGAAGCAGCAGAUGCAAAUGGAGGCGCAGUGGAUGAAGGCGGUGGAGGCGCGGGAGGAGGAGCGGAGGAUAAAGGAGAUGGAGUGGCGGCGGACGAUGGAGGCGCUGGAGAACGAGCGGGUGAUGAUGGAGAGGCGGUGGAGGGAGAGGGAGGAGCAGAGGAGGGCGAGGGAGGAAGCCAGGGCGGAGAAGAGAGAUGCGCUUAUCACCGCGCUGUUGAACAAGCUUCGAAGAGAAGACUUGUAGGGUUUUUCUUUUUCAUCCAUGGCGGAUCGGAGCUGAGGAACCAAAAAGGGACUUUAGAUUGCGGCGGCGAUCAGAGGUUUGUCUCCAAACUCUUCAACAUUUGAAGGAAAAGUGUUCCUUUGUUUUUCACCUAACAUUAAACAGAUCGAACUCAUCAUGUUCUUCGUAUCUAUACUAUGUCCUUCAAGACUUGUCUUGCAUUGCAAGUUAGCAUAUUAGACUAAAAAUUAAUCAAAAUUUCCUUUCCCUUAUCUUUAUGCACAAUUGUUGUAUUAUCAAUUUAUUAUCUUCAAAUAAAUUUUGGGUAUUUAUAUAUUU
Molecule: RNA transcript, 1472 nt
Organism: Ipomoea nil (Japanese morning glory)
Lineage: Eukaryota; Viridiplantae; Streptophyta; Magnoliopsida; Solanales; Convolvulaceae
Gene name: trihelix transcription factor GT-3b-like
Exons: 3
Source: RefSeq, a predicted model, not a curated record